GUCUGUGGCAGGACCACCCCGUUUUGAUUACUGUAGCUUUGUAGGAAGUUUUGAAAUCAGGCAGCGUGAGAUUUCCUACUUUGUUUUUGUCCAGCAUGGUUCCGGCUGUUCAGAGUCCCUUGCAAUUGCAUGUGAAUUUUUGGGAGGGAUUUUCUAUUUCUGCAAAAACAGAUUGUUAGGAUUUUGAUAGACAUUGCGUCGAACGUGCAGAUGUUACGAUUGCUUUUCGGAGAGUUUGCAACUUAUCAUGUCGAAGCGAUCUUUUGUUAUGUUCUAACGUGUGUUUGCUGGACCGUUUGUAUCGUUUGGAUUGCUUGCUACUUCCUUUGCCCACUCGUUCUCCUGGAGUCUGAGGGUCACAUACGUAAAGCGUAUUAGAGUAUCGACACUCCCCGUGCUUCCAUAACAAUCACCGAAUAUUAGUUGGGCACCGCUUUAGACAAGCUGCCGUGUUGGAUGGAGGUCUGCCUGAAGAGGUGAGGAACACCCCACAAUCCCCGCCUUCACGGGGCAAGAAGGUAGAUGGUAGUGAGAGUUACCCAAACCCGUAGUUGCAAAAUGGGUCGGUUGGUGUUUGGGCAAGGACUGGCAUGCUGUGAGGGGAUCUGAUCUGGCCUAGGGCUCCGCAAGGCCCCUCUCAGGAAGUGACAUCGGAGUUGCAGUUCGCGAUGAAGGAGUAGGAAAUAACCACUUGCGGUGGGAGGGGGAGGGGCUGGAGAGAUAUUAGCAGGUGCAAGGCCCUGAGGCCCAACGGAGCGGGCGGGCAGGCGUGUCCAGCGACGUGAAGGAAUGUGUUUUGAGCUGGAAUGUGAAGGAAGACCAGUGCAGGGGACUGGGGGGUGGGCACAGAGAUUAGAGAGUUCCAGAUCAAGGUGAGGCGGUCAGACAGUCGGCCAGCAACUGUUCAUUUUCCUUUCUAGACUCUUUGUCCACAGCUAUGGAUAAGAUGGCCAUCCAGGGCCUGGACUCCUAGUUUAUGGUCUUUAAGGUCUGCCAUUUUCUCGGAUGAAUUCACCGUUUAUCACCCUGGGACGGAGGUUUCCUUGGUUGGUUCCUUCAUCCAUUCAUUUAUUCCACAGAUAUGCACUGAGCACCUGUGAUGUGCAGGCGAGUAAGUAAGCUGAUCUCAGACGCGGGUGAGUUUUUGGAAGUGAAUGAACGAGCGAAAAGGGAGGAAGUCCCCUGGGCUCUGUGUUGGGAGCUGGUGUGGCUGAGCAGCCCACCCUGGGGGUGGCACUAGGGUAGUGACACAGCCCCUGAAAGUGGGAUGGGAGCUUUGUCUUCAUCCUCAGGGCGGAGGGAAGUCCGAACUGGUUUUCAGCCCAGAAGUGGCCUCAUCAGGCUUGUGGUUGGGAAAGGUCCCUCUGGCUUUGCUGGGGACGUUGAGGCCGGAGCUGCUGAAUGGGCCCCAGAGGUCAUGGAGGUCAUUUCUGCGGUCCAAGUGGGACGUGAGGGCCCACGUGAGAAAGGGGAGAGGCAGUGAACGUCCAGUGAUGUGGGUGGAUGGCUCCAAGGUGUUCCAGAAGGCCGAUCCACAAGACCUGGCAGAGGGUGGGUCAGGGGAGGGGGACCCAAGAUGCAGAACCGGAGAAUGUGCCAGUUAAUGAGAAACGGAAGCACAGAGGGCACUGCUGUGAGUUAGUGCCCGGGGACACCUGUGCAAAGGCAGGGACCUCUAAGACAGGACCAUGUCCCUCUCCGGCGGCCUGGCACAGUGCCUGGUAAUCAGAAGAAGACCAGUGAGGAAGCAAGCAUCACUCCAGACCUACCAGAUGUGCAAAGAUGAAGAGGUCUGAUGGGGCCAAGUGUCUUCAAGGACGUGGAGAAUCAGGGGCGUGGAGACACUGUGGUGGGGUCGUAAGUCAGGUCAUCCACUUUGGGGAGCAGAUGAAAAUACCAAGUAAAGUUAAAAAUGCCCAUUUCUUUCACCCUGAAAUCCUACUUACAGCAUAAAUCUGGAGAAACGUCUGCUCAGGGGAGUGUGAACACACAGAUGUUCAUUGCAUCAUUGUUUAUGACAGCAAAGAACCUGGACACCCACUGACAGGUAAAAAGAUACACACAUUCAUGGACGUGAGAACCAGAGACAACGCAGAGAGCAACGCCAGAGAUCGGGAAGGCUUCCACAUCCCGGCAGAUUGUCACGAAACGUGGCUCUCACUUCUGAGCACAGAGGUGUGUGUUGAGAUGAAAUCUAUAAAUCACGGACAACGUGGUCAGUCUCCAUGGAGACUUGUUCCACCCCCAGCCUCCCCCCCCCCACCCCCGGCAGGGGCACCUCCAUUUUACCCAGUGGUUCAAGUCCGAAAUCCAAGUGUCGUCUUGGAUUCUUGUCUGUCUCACACUCCACAACCAACCUGUCGAAAACCUCUGUCAUUUCUACUUCCAAAAUAUAUUCCCCUCCCUUCCCUUCUUCGGAAUAUGACACUUCUCUCCCUCUCCGUCCCACUGCCCACAUCCGGCCUCCCUCCUGGGCAGGUGACAGCCUCUGCUCCCUUGCCCUCCCCACCGUCACCCGCUCCCUGCCCUGCAGCCACGGCGAUCCUUAAAACAGCAAAUCGGAAGUCAUCAUUUCCCUGCUUAUACCCGGCAGUGGUUCCCCCUCCACCGAGAAUAUGCUAACUGCCCUCCCUUCACCAAUAAAACUAAAAAAUCUGGACCACUCCUGUUUCAUAUCCAUUUAAAACGAUAAACCUUCUCCCCUACCCCAGCCCAGCCCUUCCUUGAUCUAUCUUUCCAUGUUAUUUAUCACAUUAUGCACUAUAUGAUGCUAUAAAAUAUUAGACUUUGUAUCUUUCUAUAUAUUAUAUUCUUUAGGUCGUUUAUUGUUGGUCUUCCCUUGCGAUAAAGUAUAAGCUUCAUAGGA
Herpailurus yagouaroundi (jaguarundi) is the source of this 2866-nucleotide long non-coding RNA. RefSeq lists it as uncharacterized. Lineage: Eukaryota; Metazoa; Chordata; Mammalia; Carnivora; Felidae. The record is from RefSeq and is a predicted model, not a curated record. The transcript is spliced from 3 exons.